RNAcentral lists this ribosomal RNA (2932 nucleotides) under Escherichia coli. Its description in RNAcentral is "23S ribosomal RNA". It matches the Rfam family "Bacterial large subunit ribosomal RNA". The record is from RNAcentral. Lineage: Bacteria; Pseudomonadati; Pseudomonadota; Gammaproteobacteria; Enterobacterales; Enterobacteriaceae.
GGGUUGUGAGGUUAAGCGACUAAGCGUACACGGUGGAUGCCCUGGCAGUCAGAGGCGAUGAAGGACGUGCUAAUCUGCGAUAAGCGUCGGUAAGGUGAUAUGAACCGUUAUAACCGGCGAUUUCCGAAUGGGGAAACCCAGUGUGUUUCGACACACUAUCAUUAACUGAAUCCAUAGGUUAAUGAGGCGAACCGGGGGAACUGAAACAUCUAAGUACCCCGAGGAAAAGAAAUCAACCGAGAUUCCCCCAGUAGCGGCGAGCGAACGGGGAGCAGCCCAGAGCCUGAAUCAGUGUGUGUGUUAGUGGAAGCGUCUGGAAAGGCGUGCGAUACAGGGUGACAGCCCCGUACACAAAAAUGCACAUGCUGUGAGCUCGAUGAGUAGGGCGGGACACGUGGUAUCCUGUCUGAAUAUGGGGGGACCAUCCUCCAAGGCUAAAUACUCCUGACUGACCGAUAGUGAACCAGUACCGUGAGGGAAAGGCGAAAAGAACCCCGGCGAGGGGAGUGAAAAAGAACCUGAAACCGUGUACGUACAAGCAGUGGGAGCACAGAGCAAUCUGUGUGACUGCGUACCUUUUGUAUAAUGGGUCAGCGACUUAUAUUCUGUAGCAAGGUUAACCGAAUAGGGGAGCCGAAGGGAAACCGAGUCUUAACUGGGCGUUAAGUUGCAGGGUAUAGACCCGAAACCCGGUGAUCUAGCCAUGGGCAGGUUGAAGGUUGGGUAACACUAACUGGAGGACCGAACCGACUAAUGUUGAAAAAUUAGCGGAUGACUUGUGGCUGGGGGUGAAAGGCCAAUCAAACCGGGAGAUAGCUGGUUCUCCCCGAAAGCUAUUUAGGUAGCGCCUCGUGAAUUCAUCUCCGGGGGUAGAGCACUGUUUCGGCAAGGGGGUCAUCCCGACUUACCAACCCGAUGCAAACUGCGAAUACCGGAGAAUGUUAUCACGGGAGACACACGGCGGGUGCUAACGUCCGUCGUGAAGAGGGAAACAACCCAGACCGCCAGCUAAGGUCCCAAAGUCAUGGUUAAGUGGGAAACGAUGUGGGAAGGCCCAGACAGCCAGGAUGUUGGCUUAGAAGCAGCCAUCAUUUAAAGAAAGCGUAAUAGCUCACUGGUCGAGUCGGCCUGCGCGGAAGAUGUAACGGGGCUAAACCAUGCACCGAAGCUGCGGCAGCGACGCUUAUGCGUUGUUGGGUAGGGGAGCGUUCUGUAAGCCUGCGAAGGUGUGCUGUGAGGCAUGCUGGAGGUAUCAGAAGUGCGAAUGCUGACAUAAGUAACGAUAAAGCGGGUGAAAAGCCCGCUCGCCGGAAGACCAAGGGUUCCUGUCCAACGUUAAUCGGGGCAGGGUGAGUCGACCCCUAAGGCGAGGCCGAAAGGCGUAGUCGAUGGGAAACAGGUUAAUAUUCCUGUACUUGGUGUUACUGCGAAGGGGGGACGGAGAAGGCUAUGUUGGCCGGGCGACGGUUGUCCCGGUUUAAGCGUGUAGGCUGGUUUUCCAGGCAAAUCCGGAAAAUCAAGGCUGAGGCGUGAUGACGAGGCACUACGGUGCUGAAGCAACAAAUGCCCUGCUUCCAGGAAAAGCCUCUAAGCAUCAGGUAACAUCAAAUCGUACCCCAAACCGACACAGGUGGUCAGGUAGAGAAUACCAAGGCGCUUGAGAGAACUCGGGUGAAGGAACUAGGCAAAAUGGUGCCGUAACUUCGGGAGAAGGCACGCUGAUAUGUAGGUGAAGUCCCUCGCGGAUGGAGCUGAAAUCAGUCGAAGAUACCAGCUGGCUGCAACUGUUUAUUAAAAACACAGCACUGUGCAAACACGAAAGUGGACGUAUACGGUGUGACGCCUGCCCGGUGCCGGAAGGUUAAUUGAUGGGGUUAGCGCAAGCGAAGCUCUUGAUCGAAGCCCCGGUAAACGGCGGCCGUAACUAUAACGGUCCUAAGGUAGCGAAAUUCCUUGUCGGGUAAGUUCCGACCUGCACGAAUGGCGUAAUGAUGGCCAGGCUGUCUCCACCCGAGACUCAGUGAAAUUGAACUCGCUGUGAAGAUGCAGUGUACCCGCGGCAAGACGGAAAGACCCCGUGAACCUUUACUAUAGCUUGACACUGAACAUUGAGCCUUGAUGUGUAGGAUAGGUGGGAGGCUUUGAAGUGUGGACGCCAGUCUGCAUGGAGCCGACCUUGAAAUACCACCCUUUAAUGUUUGAUGUUCUAACGUUGACCCGUAAUCCGGGUUGCGGACAGUGUCUGGUGGGUAGUUUGACUGGGGCGGUCUCCUCCUAAAGAGUAACGGAGGAGCACGAAGGUUGGCUAAUCCUGGUCGGACAUCAGGAGGUUAGUGCAAUGGCAUAAGCCAGCUUGACUGCGAGCGUGACGGCGCGAGCAGGUGCGAAAGCAGGUCAUAGUGAUCCGGUGGUUCUGAAUGGAAGGGCCAUCGCUCAACGGAUAAAAGGUACUCCGGGGAUAACAGGCUGAUACCGCCCAAGAGUUCAUAUCGACGGCGGUGUUUGGCACCUCGAUGUCGGCUCAUCACAUCCUGGGGCUGAAGUAGGUCCCAAGGGUAUGGCUGUUCGCCAUUUAAAGUGGUACGCGAGCUGGGUUUAGAACGUCGUGAGACAGUUCGGUCCCUAUCUGCCGUGGGCGCUGGAGAACUGAGGGGGGCUGCUCCUAGUACGAGAGGACCGGAGUGGACGCAUCACUGGUGUUCGGGUUGUCAUGCCAAUGGCACUGCCCGGUAGCUAAAUGCGGAAGAGAUAAGUGCUGAAAGCAUCUAAGCACGAAACUUGCCCCGAGAUGAGUUCUCCCUGACUCCUUGAGAGUCCUGAAGGAACGUUGAAGACGACGACGUUGAUAGGCCGGGUGUGUAAGCGCAGCGAUGCGUUGAGCUAACCGGUACUAAUGAACCGUGAGGCUUAACCUUACAACGCCGAAGCUGUU